UGGUUUAUAGCUCAGUUGGUAGAGUGCUUGCCUUGCAUGCACAAGGCCCUGGGUUCAAUCCCCAGCACCAA
Molecule: transfer RNA, 71 nt
Filed under: Urocitellus parryii (Arctic ground squirrel)
Lineage: Eukaryota; Metazoa; Chordata; Mammalia; Rodentia; Sciuridae
Also listed under: 2 other names
Description: Spermophilus parryii (Arctic ground squirrel) tRNA
Rfam family: tRNA
About the family: Transfer RNA (tRNA) molecules are approximately 80 nucleotides in length. Their secondary structure includes four short double-helical elements and three loops (D, anti-codon, and T loops). Further hydrogen bonds mediate the characteristic L-shaped molecular structure. tRNAs have two regions of fundamental functional importance: the anti-codon, which is responsible for specific mRNA codon recognition, and the 3' end, to which the tRNAs corresponding amino acid is attached (by aminoacyl-tRNA synthetases). tRNAs cope with the degeneracy of the genetic code in two manners: having more than one tRNA (with a specific anti-codon) for a particular amino acid; and 'wobble' base-pairing, i.e. permitting non-standard base-pairing at the 3rd anti-codon position.
Source: Rfam by way of RNAcentral